GCUCAUUGACGUUACCCGCAGAAGAAGCACCGGCUAACUCCGUGCCAGCAGCCGCGGUAAUACGGAGGGUGCAAGCGUUAAUCGGAAUUACUGGGCGUAAAGCGCACGCAGGCGGUUUGUUAAGUCAGAUGUGAAAUCCCCGGGCUCAACCUGGGAACUGCAUCUGAUACUGGCAAGCUUGAGUCUCGUAGAGGGGGGUAGAAUUCCAGGUGUAGCGGUGAAAUGCGUACAGAU
This 234-nucleotide ribosomal RNA is filed under the name Escherichia coli. Its description in RNAcentral is "partial 16S ribosomal RNA". It matches the Rfam family "Bacterial small subunit ribosomal RNA", at positions 464 to 697 of the family's 1533-position model. The record is from RNAcentral. Lineage: Bacteria; Pseudomonadati; Pseudomonadota; Gammaproteobacteria; Enterobacterales; Enterobacteriaceae.